RNAcentral lists this ribosomal RNA (506 nucleotides) under fungal sp. DS38. RNAcentral describes it as "eukaryotic LSU rRNA". The stretch from base 147 to 300 matches the Rfam family "5.8S ribosomal RNA". Lineage: Eukaryota; Fungi. The record is from RNAcentral.
GUGACAUACCUAUAACUGUUGCUUCGGCGGGUAGGGUCUCCGCGACCCUCCCGGCCUCCCGCCUCCGGGCGGGUCGGCGCCCGCCGGAGGAUAACCAAACUCUGAUUUAACGACGUUUCUUCUGAGUGGUACAAGCAAAUAAUCAAAACUUUUAACAACGGAUCUCUUGGUUCUGGCAUCGAUGAAGAACGCAGCGAAAUGCGAUAAGUAAUGUGAAUUGCAGAAUUCAGUGAAUCAUCGAAUCUUUGAACGCACAUUGCGCCCGCCAGCAUUCUGGCGGGCAUGCCUGUUCGAGCGUCAUUUCAACCCUCAAGCUCUGCUUGGUGUUGGGGCCCUACAGCUGAUGUAGGCCCUCAAAGGUAGUGGCGGACCCUCCCGGAGCCUCCUUUGCGUAGUAACUUUACGUCUCGCACUGGGAUCCGGAGGGACUCUUGCCGUAAAACCCCCCAAUUUUCCAAAGGUUGACCUCGGAUCAGGUAGGAAUACCCGCUGAACUUAAGCAUAUC